GACGAACGCUGGCGGCGUGCCUAAUACAUGCAAGUCGUGCGGGGUUAAUGGAGAAGCUUGCUUUUCCAACAAUCUAGCGGCGGAUGGGUGAGUAACACGUGGGUAACCUGCCUAAAAGACUGGGAUAACUCCGGGAAACCGGGGCUAAUACCGGAUAAUCUACCAGGUCAUANGGACAANGGUAGUAAANAGGUGGCGCANGCUACCACUUUUAGAUGGGCCCGCGUCGCAUUAGCUAGUUGGNUGGGGUAAUGGCCUACCAAGGCGACGAUGCGUAGCCGACCUGAGAGGGUGAUCGGCCACACUGGGACCGAGACACGGCCCAGACUCCNACGGGAGGCAGCAGUAGGGAAUCUUCCGCAAUGGACGAAAGUCUGACGGAGCAACGCCGCGUGAGUGAUGAAGGUUUUCGGAUUGUAAAACUCUGUCAUUAGGGAAGAACGGUUAUAGUUUAAAUAAGGCUAUAAAGUGACGGUACCUAAAGAGGAAGCCCCGGCUAACUACGUGCCAGCAGCCGCGGUAAUACGUAGGGGGCAAGCGUUGUCCGGAAUUAUUGGGCGUAAAGCGCGCGCAGGCGGUCUAGUAAGUCUGAUGUGAAAGCCCACGGCUCAACCGUGGAGGGUCAUUGGAAACUGUUAGACUUGAGUAUAGGAGAGGAAAGUGGAAUUCCAUGUGUAGCGGUGAAAUGCGUAGAUAUAUGGAGGAACACCAGUGGCGAAGGCGACUUUCUGGCCUAUGUCUGACGCUGAGGCGCGAAAGCGUGGGGAGCAAACAGGAUUAGAUACCCUGGUAGUCCACGCCGUAAACGAUGAGUGCUAGGUGUUAGGGGUUUCGAUGCCCUUAGUGCCGCAGCAAACGCAAUAAGCACUCCGCCUGGGGAGUACGGCCGCAANGGCUGAAACUCAAAGGAAUUNGACGGGGGCCCGCACAAGCAGUGGAGCAUGUGGUUUAAUUNCGAAGCAACGCGAAGAACCUUACCAAGGCUUGACAUCCCAUUGACCGGUAUAGAGAUAUAUCUUUUCUUCGGAACAAUGGUGACAGGUGGUGCAUGGUUGUCGUCAGCUCGUGUCGUGAGAUGUUGGGUUAAGUCCCGCAACGAGCGCAACCCUUGAUCUUAGUUGCCAUCAUUAAGUUGGGCACUCUAAGGUGACUGCCGGUGACAAACCGGAGGAAGGUGGGGAUGACGUCAA
This 1190-nucleotide ribosomal RNA is filed under the name uncultured bacterium. RNAcentral's name for it is "bacterial SSU rRNA". It matches the Rfam family "Bacterial small subunit ribosomal RNA", at positions 28 to 1188 of the family's 1533-position model. The record is from RNAcentral.